GGCACAAGCGGAGGAGCAUGUGGUUUAAUUCGAUGAUACGCGAGGAACCUUACCUGGGCUCGAACGUAAGAUGACUGUAGGUGAAAGCUUACAUCUCUUCGGAGCAUUUUACGAGGUGCUGCAUGGUUGUCGUCAGCUCGUGCCGUGAGGUGUCGGGUUAAGUCCCAUAACGAGCGCAACCCCUACCUUUAGUUGCCAUCAAGUUAAGCUGGGGACUCUAAAGGAACUGCCUACGCAAGUAGUGAGGAAGCGGGGAUGACGUCAAAUCAGCACGGCCCUUACGUCCAGGGCUACACACGUGCUACAAUGGCCGAUACAGAGGGCAGCUACCUGGUGACAGGAUGCAAAUCUCCAAAGUCGGUCUCAGUUCGGAUCGGAGUCUGCAACCCGACUCCGUGAAGUUGGAUUCGCUAGUAAUCGCGCAUCAGCCAUGGCGCGGUGAAUACGUUCCCGGGCCUU
RNAcentral lists this ribosomal RNA (459 nucleotides) under uncultured Sphingobacteriales bacterium. Its description in RNAcentral is "bacterial SSU rRNA". It matches the Rfam family "Bacterial small subunit ribosomal RNA", at positions 922 to 1382 of the family's 1533-position model. The record is from RNAcentral. Lineage: Bacteria; Pseudomonadati; Bacteroidota; Sphingobacteriia; Sphingobacteriales.